UACAGAGGGUGCAAGCGUUGCUCGGAAUUAUUGGGCGUAAAGGGUAGGUAGGUGGUCUCAUUUGUCUAGGGUGAAAGCCUGGGGCUUAACCCCAGAAGUGCCCUAGAAACGGUGAGACUGGAGUACUGGAGAGGGUCGUGGAAUUCCCGGUGUAGCGGUGAAAUGCGUAGAGAUCGGGAGGAACACCAGAGGCGAAGGCGGCGACCUGGACAGUAACUGACACUCAACUACGAAAGCGUGGGGAGCAAACAGG
RNAcentral lists this ribosomal RNA (253 nucleotides) under uncultured bacterium. RNAcentral describes it as "partial 16S ribosomal RNA". It matches the Rfam family "Bacterial small subunit ribosomal RNA", at positions 524 to 776 of the family's 1533-position model. The record is from RNAcentral.